RNAcentral lists this ribosomal RNA (512 nucleotides) under Aeshna crenata. RNAcentral's name for it is "partial 16S rRNA". It matches the Rfam family "Bacterial large subunit ribosomal RNA", at positions 1830 to 2597 of the family's 2925-position model. Lineage: Eukaryota; Metazoa; Arthropoda; Insecta; Odonata; Aeshnidae. The record is from RNAcentral.
GUCUUCUUGUUAUAUUUAGGAAGUCUGGCCUGCCCAGUGAAAAUAAUUUAACGGCCGCGGUAUACUGACCGUGCAAAGGUAGCAUAAUCAUUAGUCUUUUAAUAGAGGGCUGGUAUGAAGGGUUUAACGAGGUGUUGACUGUCUCAUUUAAUUUGAACUUAGAACUUAAUUUUUUAGUUAAAAAGCUAAAAUUUUAUUGGAAGACGAGAAGACCCUAUAGAGCUUUAUAUUUUUAUUAUUAAUUUAUUAUAGAUUAUUAUUAUUUAUUAUUGGUAUAAAAUAUUUUGUUGGGGUGACAAAAAUAUAUAAAUAACUUUUUUAUUUCAUUUACAUUGCUAUAUGAAUAUUAGAUCCAAUCUUAUUGAUUGUUAGAUUAAGUUACCUUAGGGAUAACAGCGUAAUCCCUCUCCAGAGUUCAUAUUUACAGAGGGGCUUGCGACCUCGAUGUUGGAUUAAGAUAAUAAUUAGGUGUAGCCGCUUAAUUAAUAGGUCUGUUCGACCUUUAAAUUCUU